ACGCACGCUGGCGGCACGCCUCACCCCUGCAAGUCGCACGGACUUAAAAGAGCUUGCUUUUUUAAGUUAGUGGCGGACGGGUGAGUAACACGUGAGCAACCUGCCUCUGAGAGGGGGAUAGCUUCUGGAAACGGAUGGUAAUACCCCAUAAAAUAUAAAUAUCGCAUGAUAGAUAUAUCAAAGAAAUUCGCUCAGAGAUGGGCUCGCGUCUGAUUAGAUAGUUGGUGAGGUAACGGCUCACCAAGUCGACGAUCAGUAGCCGGACUGAGAGGUUGAACGGCCACAUUGGGACUGAGACACGGCCCAGACUCCUACGGGAGGCAGCAGUGGGGAAUAUUGCACAAUGGAGGGAACUCUGAUGCAGCGAUGCCGCGUGGAGGAAGAAGGUUUUCGGAUUGUAAACUCCUUUUAUCAGGGACGAUAAUGACGGUACCUGAAGAAAAAGCUCCGGCUAACUACGUG
Molecule: ribosomal RNA, 462 nt
Filed under: uncultured bacterium
Lineage: Bacteria
Description: partial 16S ribosomal RNA
Rfam family: Bacterial small subunit ribosomal RNA
Source: RNAcentral